UGAUUAGCAUAAGCCCUACCCGUUCUGCCC
RNAcentral lists this non-coding RNA (30 nucleotides) under Mus musculus (house mouse). The record is from RNAcentral. Lineage: Eukaryota; Metazoa; Chordata; Mammalia; Rodentia; Muridae.